AGAGUUUGAUCCUGGCUCAGGAUGAACGCUAGCUACAGGCUUAACACAUGCAAGUCGAGGGGAAACGACAUCGAAAGCUUGCUUUUGAUGGGCGUCGACCGGCGCACGGGUGAGUAACGCGUAUCCAACCUGCCCACCACUUGGGGAUAACCUUGCGAAAGUAAGACUAAUACCCAAUGACGUCUCUAGAAGACAUCUGAAGGAGAUUAAAGGUUUAUCGGUGAUGGAUGGGGAUGCGUCUGAUUAGCUUGUUGGCGGGGUAACGGCCCACCAAGGCGACGAUCAGUAGGGGUUCUGAGAGGAAGGCCCCCCACAUUGGGAACUGAGACACGGUCCAAACUCCUACGGGAGGCA
This 354-nucleotide ribosomal RNA is filed under the name uncultured bacterium. Its description in RNAcentral is "bacterial SSU rRNA". It matches the Rfam family "Bacterial small subunit ribosomal RNA", at positions 8 to 350 of the family's 1533-position model. The record is from RNAcentral.